UGAGGAAUAUUGGUCAAUGGCCGGAAGGCUGAACCAGCCAUGCCGCGUGAAGGUCAGUGCCCUAUGGGCGUUAAACUUCUUUUGUGCGGGAGCAAUAAGGUCCACGUGUGGGCCGACGAGAGUACCGUACGAAUAAGCAUCGGCUAACUCCGUGCCAGCAGCCGCGGUAAUACGGGGGAUGCAAGCGUUAUCCGGAUUUAUUGGGUUUAAAGGGUGCGUAGGCUGUGAGGUAAGUCAGCGGUGAAAUGCCCCCGCUCAACGGGGUGAAGUGCCAUUGAUACUGCCUUGCUGGAAUGCGGAUGCCGUGGGAGGAAUGUGUGGUGUAGCGGUGAAAUGCAUAGAUAUCACACAGAACACCGAUUGCGAAGGCAUCUCACGAAUCCGCGAUUGACGCUGAUGCACGAAAGCGUGGGUAUCAAACAGG
RNAcentral lists this ribosomal RNA (424 nucleotides) under uncultured Bacteroidota bacterium. RNAcentral's name for it is "bacterial SSU rRNA". It matches the Rfam family "Bacterial small subunit ribosomal RNA", at positions 355 to 776 of the family's 1533-position model. The record is from RNAcentral. Lineage: Bacteria; Pseudomonadati; Bacteroidota.